AUGAACGCUGGCGGCGUGCCUAAUACAUGCAAGUCGAGCGAACGGACGAGAAGCUUGCUUCUCUGAUGUUAGCGGCGGACGGGUGAGUAACACGUGGAUAACCUACCUAUAAGACUGGGAUAACUUCGGGAAACCGGAGCUAAUACCGGAUAAUAUUUUGAACCGCAUGGUUCAAAAGUGAAAGACGGUCUUGCUGUCACUUAUAGAUGGAUCCGCGCUUCAUUAGCUAGUUGGUAAGGUAACGGCUUACCAAGGCAACGAUGCAUAGCCGACCUGAGAGGGUGAUCGGCCACACUGGAACUGAGACACGGUCCAGACUCCUACGGGAGGCAGCAGUAGGGAAUCUUCCGCAAUGGGCGAAAGCCUGACGGAGCAACGCCGCGUGAGUGAUGAAGGUCUUCGGAUCGUAAAACUCUGUUAUUAGGGAAGAACAUAUGUGUAAGUAACUGUGCACAUCUUGACGGUACCUAAUCAGAAAGCCACGGCUAACUACGUG
Molecule: ribosomal RNA, 496 nt
Filed under: uncultured bacterium
Lineage: Bacteria
Description: partial 16S ribosomal RNA
Rfam family: Bacterial small subunit ribosomal RNA
Source: RNAcentral